RNAcentral lists this ribosomal RNA (422 nucleotides) under uncultured Flavobacterium sp. RNAcentral describes it as "bacterial SSU rRNA". It matches the Rfam family "Bacterial small subunit ribosomal RNA", at positions 355 to 774 of the family's 1533-position model. Lineage: Bacteria; Pseudomonadati; Bacteroidota; Flavobacteriia; Flavobacteriales; Flavobacteriaceae. The record is from RNAcentral.
UGAGGAAUAUUGGUCAAUGGGCGCAAGCCUGAACCAGCCAUGCCGCGUGCAGGAUGAAGCAUCUAUGGUGUGUAAACUGCUUUUGUACGGGAAGAAACAGCUCUUCGUGAAGAGCCUUGACGGUACCGUAAGAAUAAGGAUCGGCUAACUCCGUGCCAGCAGCCGCGGUAAUACGGAGGAUCCAAGCGUUAUCCGGAAUCAUUGGGUUUAAAGGGUCCGUAGGCGGUUUUAUAAGUCAGUGGUGAAAUCCGGUAGCUCAACUAUCGAACGGCCAUUGAUACUGUAGAACUUGAAUUAUUGUGAAGUAACUAGAAUAUGUAGUGUAGCGGUGAAAUGCUUAGAUAUUACAUGGAAUACCAAUUGCGAAGGCAGGUUACUAACAAUAUAUUGACGCUGAUGGACGAAAGCGUGGGGAGCGAACA